AGUGAACGCUGGCGGUAGGCCUAACACAUGCAAGUCGAACGGCAGCACAGUAAGAGCUUGCUCUUACGGGUGGCGAGUGGCGGACGGGUGAGGAAUACAUCGGAAUCUACUUUUUCGUGGGGGAUAACGUAGGGAAACUUACGCUAAUACCGCAUACGACCUACGGGUGAAAGCAGGGGAUCUUCGGACCUUGCGCGAUUGAAUGAGCCGAUGUCGGAUUAGCUAGUUGGCGGGGUAAAGGCCCACCAAGGAGACGAUCCGUAGCUGGUCUGAGAGGAUGAUCAGCCAAACUGGAACUGAGACACGGUCCAGACUCCUACGGGAGGCAGCAGUGGGGAAUAUUGGACAAUGGGCGCAAGCCUGAUCCAGCCAUACCGCGUGGGUGAAGAAGGCCUUCGGGUUGUAAAGCCCUUUUGUUGGGAAAGAAAAGCAGCAGGUUAAUACCCCGCUGUUCUGACGGUACCCAAAGAAUAAGCACCGGCUAACUUCGUG
RNAcentral lists this ribosomal RNA (492 nucleotides) under uncultured bacterium. RNAcentral describes it as "partial 16S ribosomal RNA". It matches the Rfam family "Bacterial small subunit ribosomal RNA", at positions 29 to 507 of the family's 1533-position model. The record is from RNAcentral.